RNAcentral lists this ribosomal RNA (468 nucleotides) under uncultured bacterium. RNAcentral describes it as "partial 16S ribosomal RNA". It matches the Rfam family "Bacterial small subunit ribosomal RNA", at positions 28 to 507 of the family's 1533-position model. The record is from RNAcentral.
GACGAACGCUGGCGGCGUGCUUAACACAUGCAAGUCGAACGGAAAGGCCCUGCUUUUGUGGGGUGCUCGAGUGGCGAACGGGUGAGUAACACGUGAGUAACCUGCCCUUGACUUUGGGAUAACUUCAGGAAACUGGGGCUAAUACCGGAUAGGAGCUCCUGCUGCAUGGUGGGGGUUGGAAAGUUUCGGCGGUUGGGGAUGGACUCGCGGCUUAUCAGCUUGUUGGUGGGGUAGUGGCUUACCAAGGCUUUGACGGGUAGCCGGCCUGAGAGGGUGACCGGGCACAGUGGGACUUAGAUACGGCCCAGACUUCUACGGGGGGCAGCAGUGGGGGGUAGUGCACGAUGGGACGAAGCCUGAUGCAGAUGCCCCGGGUGCGGGAUGACGGCCUUCGGGUUGGAAACCGCUUUCGCCGGUGACGAAGCGUGAGUGACGGGAAUGGGUAAAGAAGCACCAACUAACUGCGUG